This 1718-nucleotide long non-coding RNA is filed under the name Homo sapiens (human). Its description in RNAcentral is "non-protein coding lnc-CCL18-1:8". The record is from RNAcentral. Lineage: Eukaryota; Metazoa; Chordata; Mammalia; Primates; Hominidae.
AGUUUCCAUUUGGUCCUUUACAGAGCAAGUUUGCCAACCUGUAUCUUAAUUCAUCUUUGUGGCCAGAGAAGUGGAUUUACUGAUUUGUUUCAGCUGAUCAAUGUCUAUAACAAGCAAUGUUGAUGGGCUGAAAACCACACAGACUACCAGAGGGGUUGCUUUUCCGAAGAAUCAUGUAAGGAUAAAAGAGAAAGAAAGAGAGAAAGACCUUGGAACCCAACUAGUAUCUACCAAAUGUAUGUAACUUUCUCAUAUUAAUUCUGUCUUUAUAUGUGAAGAUGACCAAUCCCCUGCCUGUGAUUACAUCACAUCAAGCAUGUUCUUCCCAAAUUGGGGGUUCAAUUCAGACUCUCCUGUUAUAUGCCAGUUGUCUUAGGGAUUUUCUCACUUUAUUCAACACUAUACUCAAUUUUUACAUUAAUAAUGCAGUAAUAAUAUACCCCUUUGCCAUUCUGUAUUUUCCUGUAUAAUAAUAAUUAUUAUUGUUAUUAUUAUUAUUUUUUGAGACAGUUUUUGUUCUUGUCGCCCAGGCUGGAGUGCAAUGGCAUGAUCGCAGCUCACUGCCACCUCUGCCUCCUGGGUUCAAGUGAUUCUUGUGCCUCAGCCUCCUGAGUAGCUGGGAUUACAGGCACGCACCACCACGCCCAGCUAAUUUUUGUAUUUUUAGUAGAGAUGGGGUUUCACCAUGUUGGCCAGGCUGGUCUCGAACUCCUGAUCUCAGGUGAUCUGCCCGCCUUGGCCUCCCAAAGUGCUGGGAUUACAGGCGUGAGCCACUGUGCCUGGUCUUUCCUGAAUUAUUUUACCGGUUUUGUAAAAAGAUUUUGAUCGGGAUAUACCCUGUUGCCCCACAAAUGAUGGCUAGUUCCCAAAUCUGAGACUAAGUUUUCAUUAUAGACUUUAUAUUCUAAACUAAGUCACUAACAACUGGGGCCAGACAAUCCUUCCAGGGCAUUGUAGACAUAGGAAAAGGAAAGAAAGUGGCCAGCCUAGUGGGUUCCACCUUUGUGAAGGAGAGGUCUUUACUUCUAACUGCUCUUGAAGCCCAGUGAAGGGGUCUCCAGAGGGUAACUUGUACAAACUGGAAGUACCUGCAAACAAGGCAACUCAUUUUCCAGUUGGAUGUCAGCUUACAUGGUGAACCUCAUGAUUUGCCUGAGCCAAAAUGAGCAGGGGAGAAGAAAACAGAAGAUAGGAACCAAAGCAGGGAAAAGGAUUGCUGGAGGCUGCUCUCCCACCACAUGGAAUGAGCUUUCCAUUGGCCGAGUGAUCCUGUGGAAGGGAGCUGGGCUCGAGCCAUCCUCCCAGUGACACUCCGCAAAGGUUGGGGGAAUCACAUGUCCCAUUUUGUCUGGGAAAUGACCCAGUUUAUGCCAGUUGUGCCAGCAUAGUUAUUAAUAGUAACCCCUUUGAGUCUUAAAGUGCUCAUCCUACCAAUAGGAGAUCCACUGCUUAGCUUACAAGGAUCUUAACAGCAGUAGCUGAUGGGGUGGUCUCAGGGCCGCUGUCUACAAAGGCCCCUGGAUGUGUGGGCAAGAGGGUGCUGAAAGCCAGUCUGCCCAUCACCUGUAAGGUCUUGCACUCACACAGGGCUAGGUGUGCUCCAUGGUGCUUUUUUGUAACAUGCUCAAUGGUGUCUUCCAGGCUAGCAAAGGCCCAGGGUAUGCUGCCAGUGGUGUGAGCAGAAGAGAGAGGUGAAAGAUGUUGGGCAAGGGUGGGAU